AGUCGUAACAAGGUUUCCGUAGGUGAACCUGCGGAAGGAUCAUUAUCAAUGUUUAUCUUUACACCAACUUCUUUGCAAGCUUUUUCUUCUUUCGAGAAGGGAGACUUCAAAGAAGGGGGCACACAUUUGUGACAAUCAUAAAGUCCAUUUAUUUAUAUUUUUCACACCGUUGACUAAUAUACUUUUGUUUUACUUUCAUGCAUUUGUGUGUUGUAUAUUUAAUAUGUAACACUCAAUAAAAGUAGGAAGUAAAAUGAAAACAAAAAACACAAAUUACAAUCUUCAGCGAUGGAUAUCUCGGCUCAU
This 306-nucleotide unclassified non-coding RNA is filed under the name fungal sp. RNAcentral's name for it is "partial internal transcribed spacer region". The stretch from base 1 to 45 matches the Rfam family "Eukaryotic small subunit ribosomal RNA", at positions 1787 to 1831 of the family's 1831-position model. The record is from RNAcentral. Lineage: Eukaryota; Fungi.